This is a small nuclear RNA of Jaculus jaculus (lesser Egyptian jerboa), 107 nucleotides long. NCBI's taxonomy places the organism in Eukaryota, Metazoa, Chordata, Mammalia, Rodentia, Dipodidae. The record is from Ensembl.
GUGUUCACUUCAGCAGCAUGUAUAUUAAACUUAGAAUGACACAGAAAAGAUUACAAUGGCUCAUGCACAAGAAUGGUAAGAAAAUUUGUGAAAUAUUCCAUACUUUU